UACGAAGGGGGCUAGCGUUGUUCGGAAUUACUGGGCGUAAAGCGCGCGCAGGCGGUCCUUUAAGUCUGAUGUGAAAGCCCACGGCUCAACCGUGGAGGGUCAUUGGAAACUGGGGGACUUGAGUGCAGAAGAGGAAAGCGGAAUUCCACGUGUAGCGGUGAAAUGCGUAGAGAUGUGGAGGAACACCAGUGGCGAAGGCGGCUUUCUGGUCUGUAACUGACGCUGAGGCGCGAAAGCGUGGGGAGCAAACAGG
RNAcentral lists this ribosomal RNA (253 nucleotides) under uncultured bacterium. RNAcentral's name for it is "partial 16S ribosomal RNA". It matches the Rfam family "Bacterial small subunit ribosomal RNA", at positions 524 to 776 of the family's 1533-position model. The record is from RNAcentral.